This 478-nucleotide ribosomal RNA is filed under the name uncultured bacterium. RNAcentral's name for it is "SSU rRNA". It matches the Rfam family "Bacterial small subunit ribosomal RNA", at positions 26 to 523 of the family's 1533-position model. The record is from RNAcentral.
AGGAUGAACGCUGGCGGCGUGCCUAACACAUGCAAGUCGAACGUCCUGUCUCGCAAGAGGCAGGGAGUGGCGGACGGGUGAGUACCACGUGGGUUAUCUACCGUGAGGUGAGGAAUACCGGCGAGAAAUCGCCGACAAGACCGCAUAGCCUCGGUGCAAGCCGAGCAAAGCUCUUUCGAGAGAGGGAGCGCCACACGAGGAGCCUGCGCCCGAUUAGCUAGCUGGUGGAGUAACGGUUCACCAGGGCGACGAUCGGUAGCUGGUCUGAGAGGACGAUCAGCCACACUGGGAUUGAGAACGGCCCAGACUCCUACGGGGGGCAGCAGUGAGGAAUUUUCGUCAAUGGGGCAACCCUGAACGAGCAACGCCGCGUGCAGGAAGAAGGUUUUCGGAUCGUAAACUGCUUUUCGUCGGGGAAGAGAACGGACGGUACCCGAGGAAUCAGCCCCGGCUAACUACGUGCCAGCAGCCGCGGUAA